UACGAAGGGGGCUAGCGUUGCUCGGAAUUACUGGGCGCAAAGCGCACGUAGGCGGCUUUCUAAGUCGGGGGUGAAAUCCUGGAGCUCAACUCCAGAACUGCCUUCGAUACUGGAGAGCUCGAGUCCGGGAGAGGUGAGUGGAACUGCGAGUGUAGAGGUGAAAUUCGUAGAUAUUCGCAAGAACACCAGUGGCGAAGGCGGCUCACUGGCCCGGUACUGACGCUGAGGUGCGAAAGCGUGGGGAGCAAACAGG
RNAcentral lists this ribosomal RNA (253 nucleotides) under uncultured bacterium. RNAcentral's name for it is "partial 16S ribosomal RNA". It matches the Rfam family "Bacterial small subunit ribosomal RNA", at positions 524 to 776 of the family's 1533-position model. The record is from RNAcentral.